This 442-nucleotide ribosomal RNA is filed under the name uncultured bacterium. RNAcentral describes it as "partial 16S ribosomal RNA". It matches the Rfam family "Bacterial small subunit ribosomal RNA", at positions 28 to 507 of the family's 1533-position model. The record is from RNAcentral.
GAUGAACGCUGGCGGCGUGUCUUAUACAUGCAAGUCGAGUGGGUUUAGACCCACGGCAAACGGGUGAGUAACACGUAGGUACUUUCCUUGUCACAGGAAUAACCCUCCGAAAGGAGGGCUAAUACCUGAUGUGAUCGCAAGAUUAAAGGGUAUCCGCAAGGAUUACCGGACAAGAAGAGGCCUGCGGCCUAUCAGCUAGUUGGCGGGGUAAAUGCCCACCAAGGCUAUGACGGGUAGCUGGUCUUAUGAGGAUGAUCAGUCACAUGGGCACUGAGACACGGGCCCAACUCCUACGGGAGGCAGCAGUAGGGAAUUUUGCGCAAUGGGCGAAAGCCUGACGCAGCGACGCCGCGUGCGGGAUGAAGGCCUUCGGGUCGUAAACCGCUUUUAUAAGGGACGAACUUUGACGGUACCUUAUGAAUAAGAGGUUGCUAACUCUGUG